UGGCGACCGGCGCACGGGUGAGUAACACGUAUCCAACCUGCCGAUGACUCGGGGAUAGCCUUUCGAAAGAAAGAUUAAUACCCGAUGGCAUAGUUCUUCCGCAUGGUAGAACUAUUAAAGAAUUUCGGUCAUCGAUGGGGAUGCGUUCCAUUAGGUUGUUGGCGGGGUAACGGCCCACCAAGCCUUCGAUGGAUAGGGGUUCUGAGAGGAAGGUCCCCCACAUCGGAACUGAGACACGGUCCAA
RNAcentral lists this ribosomal RNA (244 nucleotides) under uncultured bacterium. RNAcentral's name for it is "partial 16S ribosomal RNA". It matches the Rfam family "Bacterial small subunit ribosomal RNA", at positions 89 to 334 of the family's 1533-position model. The record is from RNAcentral.